CAGCCACACCUGAACCUCCCCCGCCCCCAGGAGCGUCAGCAGCGGGGCACCAACGCGCCUCAGGUGGGCCAUGGCGGGCGGGGGGCGGCGGCGCUGGGGAGGGCCCCCUCCGAGGGGGCCUCCUCCUGCUGCAUCCCAGCUCCACCACAGGACCUCACAUUUUUCAUUUUCCUUAAAAAGAAAAGCUUUUUUUACUUACUUAUUAUCUGACCUGUCUUGAUAGUUUCCUCCUUAAUUGCUCUCUACUUAAAUCUGUUCCUAAUUGCAAGAGGGUUGCACUUUAAUCACACCUAAAUUUAAUUUUAGCCCACACCAGUCUCGCAUUAUCUCGUUUACACCAGAGCCUUUAUUUAUGGCCGUAGAGGGGGCAGGGGCAGGGUGUCCCUGAGGGCUGGCUCUCUCUGGGGUCAGCAAUGGCUCCCUGUUCUGUGGGUGCCGGGAUCCCGGCUCCGCUCCUGGAGCAGCUGAACCUGCCUCACGAAGCCCCUUUGAACAAAAGCCGGGUAGCUGGCGGAGAUCGUACCCUUGCUACGUUAGGUGACACGGCGCGGCAGAGCCGUUAGAGGAACCACACAGCCAGCACCCGCCAGCACCCCGCCAGCACCCCGCCAGCACCCACGCUGCGGCACAGCCCUGCCCGCGCCCUGGGGCAGCAGGAGAGAGGCCGAACCCAAGGGGCAGCUCUCAAGGCCGGCUGGCGCUCCCCUCCCUGCACAGCUGCGGAUGCUCUUGGGCAGCGACACACGGGCAGGACCAGGAGAGACGCGCUUGGGUGGGGAGGUAACCUGGGAGCUUCAGCUCUUUUGCCGUGAGCGCAGAGCCAGGGAGCUCCUGCCGUCGCAUCCCAGCUAGUUCCCCCGGUUUCUGCCCGUGGAUGCCCCUGUGCUGGAUUGAGUUGCUCACCUCUGUCUGUGCCAGCCCUGCCUACGACCCGCCGCCAGCCGCAGCCCGUGGGAGGGACUCCUGCCAUCCCCGGAGGCCUCAGGAGUUUCACCCUUCGUGCUGCCUCGGGCAGAGGGCAGCAGGGGCCCAGGAGAGGAAGGAGGAAUCAUUUAGGAAGUAGCAGCAGAACAAAGAAGAAAAAGAAAAAAUCUUUUUUCUUUGCGUACAAAGACAUCUCAGCCUUCCUGGGGAGAAGAAAAGAAGAGGGAGGUAGAUGCACCACACAAAGAGAAGAAAAUGUGCUGAGAAACCACAAGGCAUUUAAAAGCUCACACAGGAAACCAAACCCACUUUGAUAUCCCCUCUCAUUGGAAAUGUUUGAGGCCAGAAUAAUGCUGCCAUGAUGUAUCACACAAAGGGAUGAGAAAGCAUGUAUUUGUUGAGCAGCGACACGCGUGCCCUUCCAAGAACAGGCAACUGCGAAAGCAACGGCCGUCGUGCGGGAGAGGAGCCACCUCCAUCAGCAUGUAGGGAUGUGCACUGAAAAGAGGAUAAAAAUAGAAAGCGUGAGUGUUCUUCAGGGAGGAGAGUGGCUGCGGAUGUGCCUGUGAGGCGGGGACCGGCUCGCAGGAGGUCCGGGCUCCCUUCCCCCUCAGCUUCGCACCCUAAACUUUUAACGAGAGAAAUCACAGCUCGCUCAUGGCACGGUGACUCCCGAGCAGCGCGUGUCCCUGCUGCGUCCCACUGCUGAUUUGCAAUGAAACACAGAGCUGUUCCAACGGCUGUGCACCAUUAAGGGCUUGAAAUCACGAUGCAGCUUGAAGAAGUGGAGCUGAGGAUGGAUCUUAUGGGGUUUGAUGUUCCAUGGAGGCUGCUGGCCAGCACGCAGCCCUGCCCAGGUCCGAGGGAUCUCCAGCUGUGGCUGUCCAGCCCCCUGCCUCAUCGCUGCCCGGCCGACUCUGCCGCAGGGCUUCCCCAGCCCCAGCUGGCUCCGAAAGGCCAAACCCUUGGCAAUGGCACAGCUAUGGAAGGGAGAGAGAGAGGAGAACGUGUGUGCACAGAAAGGGGAGCAGGCACGGGGAGAAGCACGUUGCACCGAGGAGCCGGUGCCGGCGGCGGAGGUGCAGCCCUGCACCGGUUUUGCCGUGCUGCCCUGGCACCCGGGCUCGGUGGAGUCUGUCUGUCCCUCUCAGCAGCGGCCAAGCCUGCAUUUUUCAUACCCACCCAGUUUUGCAAGAAGCAACGUUUGCAAAUGGUUCUCAAAUAAUCGCGGAGCUGUGAGCUUCCACUGGGAACGCCCCUGGAGCAAUGUUGGGGUCGGGAUCAGGGUCAGCACAGCCUGGAUGUGGUACCCUCGCCGCAGGAGCAGCUAGGCUGGUGCUGAGCCAGGCGGCAGAGUAACGCUCCUGCCGCCAUCCCACCCGUCCUGCCAUCCCACCAGCACAGGAGGCGGAGGGUCAGCGCCAGCUCACUGCACUGAUGUUUGAUGGGAGGACUUUCUGAAACAAGACAAAGGCAGUGAUACUUUUAUUAUACGCAAAAGUGGACAGGAAUUUGCAUUCAAGCCUCCUUUCUGGACAGCAGAAGUCUGCACUUAUCCGGAACGUCAAACUCUUAUAUCUGUGAAUGCAAAUAUUUGCCCCAGACCACAGAGCAAACGAAAAGUUUCUCCAUUACGUAUUUGUUUUAAAAAGAUGUUUUCUAAAUACUAUAAAACAAGGAGUGGGGAGUGAGAGGUUACCUGUAUUACUCUGAGACAUGAGCUAAAUCAGCAUUUCAAACACACCAUUUCCUGCACGAUUGGCCGGCGGCUCCCUUUCUGCAUCGUAACCUCCAGUGAGGGAUUGCAGGACCAGCAGCCCUUACUAAUUACAAGCCCUCCCUGCCCCAAAAUAAAUCAACAGCUUGGGAUAUAUUUGGCAAGACUGAAAAAGGAAAUAGUGAUGUUUAUAUUUGUCAUCCGCUUGUGAAGUCUUUCAGGUUUUGCUUUCUAGCAUUCAUCCACACACGUAAGCAUCACUGGAAAACCCGCUGGGAUUUCUGCACCGUCACCUGCCUCCAGGAGCUGGUGCCGAAGGAGGAAGCAUCAGCCAGCACGGGCUGUUUUACAAGCGUGGCUGUGGCAAUCCUGCUUUUUAGUUAUUAAAUCCAGUGAGAGUGAGACAGCGCAGCUGAUUUCUGACUCUGUGGGUGAAGACUAAACUGCCCAGGGAGCUUUCGGAGGCCCUGUGGACGGCAGCUAGCGCAGAGGGGGAUUUGGUGACCAUCUUGGGAGGAGCACAGCUGCAGGUUGUGUAAUUUUACGUGGCUGCUUUGCUGCUGCUCUGCCGGUGCAGCUGCCUACAGCGGCGCUCUCCUGGGCCAGGGUGGGAAGACAAAUGGCUUGUGCUGCUCAAAGGGUCCAGUUCCUCCUUAGGUAACUUUAAACUCAAUCAUGCCUGACUUUGCUUGCAAAGAAAUCUUGAGACGCCUUGAAAGACUGGUGCUGCCUCAUUUACUCUCUGUCGCGCUGACUUUCCUCCUGCACAAGCAUGCGGAACUGUGCCUGCUCGUUUUUGCAGAUUUGCUGCCAAAACAGGGUAGGAUUUCAGUGUGAGGAAUGAGUGCGAUUUGGGAGAAAGCCCAGCAGAACGUAACUUACCCGGUGCCAGGAUUUACGAUGCUCUCCUCACGAAGCCUGCGUGCCAGGCUGCCACGUCUCGGUGGCUCGGUCACAGUGCCCAGGGCAGGACUGGGACCCCCGCUGCGCUGAGCCGCAAGCUGGGGCUUGCAAAGGAGGGGGUGAGGUGGUGGCAGCCCCCCGAGGGCAGCGCUCGCACCCUCUGCUUUGGGGUAACCCUCCUACACGUGCCCCUUUUUGAUGGCUGUGUUGAAAAGCCCAUCUCUGAGCGGCAGGAUUUGGCCUCAUCAGCCAGACUCUGGGCUAUGUUGAAAGCUUCCAACUUUUUCAGGCAAACGCUCUUUGUCUGCUGUCUAAGAAAAUCGGGCCCUGAUUACUGAUUAGACCUACCUACUUGCCAAAAUAUUGAAGAAACAUGAACAAAACUUAGAGCAAAAAGAUUAUUUCAGGGAAGUGUAAGCCACAAAACAAACCAGUACUAAUGUAUUAUUAAUAUACUGAUGUCAGCAUUAAUAGUAAUGCAGUGUUUUGCAGCUGUUUUAGUAAUAAUGCUACAGCUUUAUGUAUUCAUAAGUGUACUAAUAUUAAUGCCACUUUCUGCAAUAAAUAACAUUGAUAAUAGCAUUGCUUCUCAGGGGCUGUUGAAAACUUCUGCUUCUUGCACUUGUUGUCCAGCCAGCAUCCCCUUCCCACUGCUAACAGGUCUCCCCUUGCAGCAUGGGCUUGGUGCACGGGACCAUUGCUCACGGGACUGAGGCACCCCUGAAUUGCUGCUGGAGUAUCUGGGUAAUUCCCCUGGCCAAGGGUCCACUUCAUUUUUAUAGGCUUGAGUUCUUUAUCCCAUAUUCCUCUGCAGGGGACCUGCUACCAACAGCGUCUCAAAGACAGGGCAGGGGGAGGCACCUGUAUCCUAUUAACAACUUUCUGGUCUUUUGUUGAGCCUAUAGGUGGGUUUCAGCCAAUCCACCUGGUUCAAGGCUCUAAUAAGAAGCACAUGAGCCUUUCCACCUGGUGCUUAAUGUGACCACUCUCUGGGGACAGUGUCCCUGCUGGGCUCGCAGGGCUGGUGGGUGGAUGUUGGCCAUGAAGGAGCUGCCCUGCGACAGCCCAGGAGAGUGUGGAGAUGCUGUUGGGAAGAGAGGAGAGUCCAGCUGACCCACAAACCCCCAAGUGGGGGUUUUAAUGAAGCUGCUAUGGUCUGAAGUUAGAGAGAAGGGUAUGGAGAUGCAUUUUUGAGUGGCUCAGCCCCCUCCCCAGCGCUGCCUCCUGAGCUCCUGGGACUGCGCAGAGGAGGAGCUGGGACUAGUCCCAGGUAAGCCGGUGCCUGGGCAUGCUGGUGAGAGGAGCUGGCUCUGUGGGAGCUUCGCCGGGACAGCCCUGGCUGGCCUGUUCCUGGGGUUUGCUGUGGCAAUGCUGUGCUGGUUCUCUGCGAGUUGGCCCUAACCAGUGGCUGUCGCAGAAGGAUGGAUCGGUGCAGUGACAGAGUUGUACGGGAUGGGCUGUGGUGUCUGGGGCUGCUUUUUGCCUUUUUUUUUUUUUUUUCCAUAAGAGAUGGAACAUGUUGCAGGCACCCAGUGAGAGCUGAGAAACACCUGGGUUGGAGGGACAGAGUUUUACUGAUCAGCAGCAUCUCGCUGCUGACCCAGGUCCUGGCUCCUGGUUCUUGCAGGGUGGAAGACGGUGUGUGUGAUGCCAUUGGGUACCACGAUGCUAUUAGCUAAAAACUAAGCUUUGUGGCUUGGCUGGUGACUUGAAUCCUCUCCUGCCCUGCGCAAAGCUUUCAGGUUCUCAGUGCUGGGAAUUGGUCAUCAGAAGCCUUCUAGCUUGUUUGUGGUUGCUGUGCUUUACAGCAAGGGGUAGGUCAGCUUAGACCUAUUUUUUAUGAAGAGCUUGUGAGCCUGCAGGCUCCUUGUUGCUGUUUCUCUUUCUUAAUUGGCUUUGAGUGCAUAUGUGUGGAUGUGCAUGUGCCUGCCUCCCUCAUCAGCAGCACCCCUGGUAUUCAGCAGAGUAAUUAGAACAUCUAAAUCUUCCCUAUAUGUCAUCCAGACUUUGUAAAAUUAACUGUGAUUACUGGCACCAGCCUGCAGACGUGCCGGAUCCCACCCCAGCUCCUGAUAAGCAUAAUUGCUCCUCAUUGUUCCUCUGGAAAGUGUUAUGCUCGCUGCCAUGUGCGAGCUCCUUCCUGCUUGCUUUUAUAUUAGCGCAGAGUUAAAUGACUUUGGCUUUUGUUGACUCUGGGAGGAUUUAUGAGGAGUUGCACAUAACUGAAAUCAGAAGUGCUGCUUGAUUGCUGAGCAAACAGAAGGCCUGGGUUCGGUGAUGGCUCUUGAAAUGAAUCCUUCUCCUUCCUUGACCCCUCGCUGGAUUGGGCAGUGGGUUGAGCUGCCUGGGGUACGGCGGGGAGACCUGGCCCGUGCUGCCUUGCCCCGGGGUACAGCCCGCGGUGGAGCAGCGCCCUCUCACAAAGAGCCCUGAACCUCCCCAAGGGCUUAUAUAUAAAUACAUAUAUUUCCUAUACUAUAUGUAAAAAUUUAAAAAUGCAGGCUGGGUCGGGGACGUGGUUUUAUGCCUCUCCCCACAGGACAGCGUUAUUUCUGCAGUCUGGAGCUGCGUCUUUGAACGCAAGCGACUGCGUGUGGUAAGGACCUGCCCUGGGAAGGUGCCAGUUCUGGUACAAAGUGUGCGUGGGGGAGGCCAAGGGGCAGCUAGCGAUCAUUAUUAGUCUCUUGUUAAAUGAGGUGUGACACUGAGCACUUAUCCAUUUCCUUACCACACAGGUAAGUGGGGUGAAGAAAUAGAGAAAUUUUCUUUUUGAAGCUUUCUUUUCUUCCUCCUCCUCCCUUUUCCACACCCAGCCCAAGUGGCACGUAGAGAUCGGUGUCACAUCUUGUCUUUCCAGGCCAAGUGCUGCCCAGAUGUCCUUCAUAUUUCUCUGUCUUUCCUUGAGGAUGCUGGGUCUCUCACACCAUUCCCAAUUUAAGAACAAAAAAAAAAAACAACCAGAAAAGAAAAAAAAACAGCCAGGGAACUAACUUUGCUAAUGACUUUGCUGACUGGAAUCAUUAAGGACAUCUCGGCAUCGUGGCCCCUCUCCUCUCUGCUUUCAGGAGCAAUAUUGAUCGCUAUUUUAAUUUAAAUCUUGGACAAAAACCCUUCACUUUUUUCUUCCGAGUUCUCCAGCGUGGCCCACCAUGAGAACCGAUCAUGUUUCUUGGGGCGUAGCGCAGUGGAACAGCGGGCAAGAGGGAUGAAGAGCCUGGGGCAGUGUCUGCGCACAGCCGUGAGCCCGGGCAGGGUGGGCGAUUUCCCCCCCAGCUCUGACCGAGGGGUGGGUCAAGGACCUGCCUCGGGAGUGCUGAAAAGCUGGUAAUUGUGGGGAAACUGCUUCAAAAUUCAACCAAGAGGAGGCAAGGCUGGCAUUUUCAGUAGGGAAGUCUAGUGCUCUGGCAUCUCUCUGCUCUCAUUAUAUACUUUCAAAUUGCUCUUAUAUAUGCUUCAAAGGUUAAUAUAUGUUUGUGAUGAGUGCACUUUGUAUAAAUGUUAAUUAGCCUGGGUGCAAUUCAAAGGAAUCUUCCCUCAAUAAAUGCUUUUUCUGUAUUUUUAGCC
Phalacrocorax carbo (great cormorant) is the source of this 7108-nucleotide non-coding RNA. The record is from RefSeq and is a predicted model, not a curated record. Lineage: Eukaryota; Metazoa; Chordata; Aves; Suliformes; Phalacrocoracidae.